CAUGCAAUGACAAGGCAUUGAUGUUUUUUGUUCGCAAGCUUGUUCUUGUUUGUUUAAACCACAAUAUUUUAUUUAAAGCCAAACACAUUCCUGGGACGUACAAUCGCCUGGCUGAUCUUUUGUCUCGAUUUCAGGUUCAAACCUUCAAACGCGAAGCACCAGCCUCGAUGAAUUCCUGUGCAACGGACAUUCCACGGCAUCUGUUGCCAGCGAAUUGGGAAAUAUCGUUUCCCACUUGACACAAUCGAGCCUCCAGCCAUCCUCAAUUCCGACUUACCGACGCGCUUGGAAACUUUUUGACCAAUUUCAUUCUCAUGUGUUUCAAACAUUUUCAUAUAAAUUACCAAUUUCGCCUCCUACAUUAGCACUUUUUAUCGCCUACAUGUUUGACCGGCGCUACGCCCCCUAUACUGUCAACGGCUACGUCUCGGCUCUCGGCUAUCCCCACAAAUUAAUGGGAUUGAUGGAUCCCACUAAAAUAUUUUACAUUGUGCAAAUGUUGAAAGGCUAUGGCAAACAGGGUUUUCGUUUGGACGCUAGGUUGCCUAUUACGCUAACGAUUUUAAAUCGAUUAGUAAUGGCUGUGCCACACUGUGUCGUUACGUACUACGACCAGUGCCAAUUUCGUGCGAUGUGUGCUCUAGCAUUCUUCGCAUUUUUGCGCGUGGGUGAGAUCACCGCAACAUCACAGCCGGGCAAUUGCCC
Molecule: non-coding RNA, 705 nt
Organism: Paramuricea clavata
Lineage: Eukaryota; Metazoa; Cnidaria; Anthozoa; Malacalcyonacea; Plexauridae
Source: the annotation of a GenBank genome assembly